This 497-nucleotide ribosomal RNA is filed under the name uncultured bacterium. RNAcentral describes it as "partial 16S ribosomal RNA". It matches the Rfam family "Bacterial small subunit ribosomal RNA", at positions 28 to 507 of the family's 1533-position model. The record is from RNAcentral.
GAUGAACGCUGGCGGCGUGCCUAAUACAUGCAAGUCGAGCGAACGGACGAGAAACUUGCUUUUCUGAUGUUAGCGGCGGACGGGUGAGUAACACGUGGAUAACCUACCUAUAAGACUGGGAUAACUUCGGGAAACCGGAGCUAAUACCGGAUAAUAUUUUGAACCGCAUGGUUCAAAAGUGUAAGACGGUCUUGCUGUCACUUAUAGAUGGAUCCGCGCUGCAUUAGCUAGUUGGUAAGGUAACGGCUUACCAAGGCAACGAUUCAUAGCCGACCUGAGAGGGUGAUCAGCCACACUGGAACUGAGACACGGUCCAGACUCCUACGGGAGGCAGCAGUAGGGAAUCUUCCGCAAUGGGCGAAAGCCUGACGGAGCAACGCCGCGUGUGUGAAGAAGGUCUUCGGAUCGUAAAACUCUGUUAUUAGGGAAGAACAUAUGUGUAAGUAACUGUGCACAUCUUGACGGUACCUAAUCAGAAAGCCCCGGCUAACUACGUG